This 711-nucleotide ribosomal RNA is filed under the name uncultured Mycobacterium sp. Its description in RNAcentral is "bacterial SSU rRNA". It matches the Rfam family "Bacterial small subunit ribosomal RNA", at positions 619 to 1325 of the family's 1533-position model. The record is from RNAcentral. Lineage: Bacteria; Bacillati; Actinomycetota; Actinomycetes; Mycobacteriales; Mycobacteriaceae.
GCGUGCGGGCGAUACGGGCAGACUGGAGUACUGCAGGGGAGACUGGUAUUUCUGGUGUAGUGGUGGAAUGCGCAGAUAUCAGGAGGAACACCGGUGGCGAAGGCGGGUCUCUUGGCAGUAACUUACGCUGAGGAGCGAAAGCGUUGGGGAGCGAACAGGAUUAGAUACCCUGGUAGUCCACGCCGUAAACGGUGGGUACUAGGUGUGGGUUUUCUUCCUUGGGAACCGUGCCGUAGCUAACGCAUUAAGUACCCCGCCUGGGGAGUACGGCCGCAAGGCUAAAACUAAAAGAAAUUAACGGGGGCCCGCACAAGCGGCGGAGCAUGUGAAUUAAUACGAUGCAACGCGAAGGACCUUACCUGGGUUUAACAUGCACAGGACGCGUCAAAAAAUAGGCGUUCCCUUGUGGCCUGUGUGCAGGUGGUGCAUGGCUGUCGUCAGCUCGUGUCGUGAGAUGUUGGGUUAAGUCCCGCAACGAGCGCAACCCUUGUCUCAUGUUGCCAGCACGUGAUGGUGGGAACUCGUAAGAAACUGCCGGGGUCAACUCGGAGGAAGGUGGGGGUGACGUCAAGUCAUCAUGCACCUUAUGUCCGGGGCAUCACACAUGCUACAAUGGCCGGUACAAGAGGGCUGCGAUGCCGUGAGGUGGAGCAAAUCCUUGGUAAAGCCGGUCUCAGUUCGGAUCGGGGUCUGCAACUCGACCCCGUGAAG